Molecule: long non-coding RNA, 299 nt
Filed under: Mus spicilegus (steppe mouse)
Lineage: Eukaryota; Metazoa; Chordata; Mammalia; Rodentia; Muridae
Description: lncRNA (ENSMSIG00000004492.1)
Source: RNAcentral
UAGAGCACGUGUUUGUGAUGAAAAUUAACCCAAGAGACUAAAGACCUAGAGACCUUUGAAAGCAAACAUAGCAAGCCUGAAAAGAAGAAAGUUGUCGUUCACCUGUGACUGUGCUCCUAAUCACACCGACGAAGAGCAACCACAGCACAAAGGAUGGGUGCAAUACUGUGUGACAGCUUGACUGUGGAGAGGCUUGACACCAUUUUGCUGUGAAUUGAAUAACUCAGCAGAGGACUGGAAGUCUAAGAUAAAGGGCAAUGGGAAUAUUCGUGGCUGGGAGAGGGCUACCCUCUGCUCAG